UCCCUGGUGGUCCAGUGGUUAAGACUCUGCGCUCCCAACGCAGGGGCCAGGGUCUGAGCCUUGGUCAGGGAA
Molecule: transfer RNA, 72 nt
Filed under: Ovis aries (sheep)
Lineage: Eukaryota; Metazoa; Chordata; Mammalia; Artiodactyla; Bovidae
Rfam family: tRNA
About the family: Transfer RNA (tRNA) molecules are approximately 80 nucleotides in length. Their secondary structure includes four short double-helical elements and three loops (D, anti-codon, and T loops).
Source: Rfam by way of RNAcentral